UACGUAGGGGGCAAGCGUUGUCCGGAAUCAUUGGGCGUAAAGCGCGUGUAGGCGGCUCGAUAAGUCUGCUGUGAAAGUCCAGGGCUCAACCCUGGGAUGCCGGUGGAUACUGUCGGGCUCGAGUCCGGAAGAGGCGAGUGGAAUUCCUGGUGUAGCGGUGAAAUGCGCAGAUAUCAGGAGGAACACCAAUGGCGAAGGCAGCUCGCUGGGACGGUACUGACGCUGAGGCGCGAAAGCGUGGGGAGCAAACAGG
This 253-nucleotide ribosomal RNA is filed under the name uncultured bacterium. RNAcentral's name for it is "partial 16S ribosomal RNA". It matches the Rfam family "Bacterial small subunit ribosomal RNA", at positions 524 to 776 of the family's 1533-position model. The record is from RNAcentral.